AUGGCGGAAAAUUUUGAAAAGACGGAGGAAACUAGACAUCAAGGAUGUGCGUUCUUUUUGAAACGUAAAAACAGAUAUUGUAAAAUGAUUCCUGGGAAAAGAAACAAAUAUUGUGGUGAACAUUCAUAUCUUGCCCAAGAUAACCAAGGCAUUCCAGCGCGAAAACGAAUUCCUUGUCCACUGGAUACAAAGCACACAGUGUUUGAGGAUCAACUUGAGAAACAUUUGAAGAAAUGCAAUGUUACUAAGAAGAGAAACGUUGAAUAUUAUGUUGCAAAUAUUAACAGUGGAAUUUGCCAUAAUGAAUCAUCAUGGGAAAAGCUACCUUUAAGGAAAAUUCCAAAAGAUGAUAUCCAAAAUUGUAUAGACAGAAUCAAGUUAUACUUUGAACAAGGAAAUGCUGUUGAUAUCAAAACCUCUGUUUUAACUGAACAAUGUCUUGAAAAUGAAAUAAACAACACCAGUUGUAACCAUGCUUUGAAAAAGCAUUUACACCAACAGUCAUCAUUGAUAGGAAAUUUAAGAAAUUCAGAACUUUUAAAAUCGGAUUCAAUUUUUGUUGAAUUUGGAGCAGGACGGGGUUUGUUAUCACAUUGGAUACAAAAAUCUAUGAAAGAUGAAUCAAAUGUGGAUUUCUUGCUUGUCGACAGGGCAAGCACGCGAUAUAAGGCAGACUCCUACCACCGUGGACCAGAGCAAGGACCAAGUUUUCACCGAAUUCAGAUUGAUAUUGAACACUUAGAUUUAGAUAAUGUGCCGCUUAUAUCCAACAGUAAACAAGAAGUAACUGCCGUCAGCAAACACCUGUGUGGAGCUGCAACAGAUCUGGGAUUGAGAUGUCUACUCAAUUCACCUGACGAAACAGAGUGUUCUGACGACAACCCAGACAGAAAUGAAGCCAGAUCAACAAAGAGACUAAAACUUGGCGGCAAUCGUGUGCGGGGUCUUUUGUUUGCAUUGUGCUGUCACCACUGUUGUUCUUGGGCUAGCUAUGUCGGGAGAACAUUUUUGGAAAAUCUCGGUUUUACUGCGUACGACUUUCACAUUCUGUGCUGCCUGAGCAGUUGGGCUACCUGUGGCAGUCGAAAGGAAACACGGGCGAACGCUAAGAAUGAUACCCAGGCCUCUGAAAACCGUACGACGUGCGAAACAGUGACUGGGGCCCCAACUGAGCUGACUGAGGAUACAACAGGGACAAGAGGGGAUGACCAUGAACAUAGAACGAUAGAAGUCGAUGAAGGAAGUUGUAUAAGAGCUUUAGGAUUUACUAAGAGUCAAAGCGAGGAUAUUGGUCGUCAAAGUAAACGUUUAAUUGACGCUGGACGAGUCUGGUAUUUGAAACAAUUUGAUUUGGACGCUUCUCUUUUUUAUUAUGUCGAUCGGUCGGUUUCGUUGGAAAACAUCGCCAUCGUCGCUUAUAACAGAAGAAGUAAUUUUGAAAAAGAGUCUGAUUAAGCAGGAGGGCGCCGCUUUUGAAAAUCCAAGCCAUCCAUGUUUGUCUGGAGAGUUAUUCGUGAUAGGAUGAAAUGUUCAAUUUCAAACCAAAUUAUGAGGCAAGAUAGACGAAGAUUGGAUUCCUCGCCUCUUGUAACUGAUUUUUGGUCCAAAUUUUAACGAGGCAUCCUUAUACGGCCAAAGCUUGCUCAACUCGACAGUUCUACUUGUAUUCACCAUUAAGUGAUCUCAAUCAAAUCAUUUGGUCAGUGAAGUUUCAAUGAAGACAAUUAGACAAUAAAUAAACUGUUCAUGAAAUACUAGGAGACCACCAUGGCACCAUCCAUGUUCACUGACUCUACUCCCUGUUGUUGCAAAAAUCAUGGCUCUUCUUAAAGCUGAGGUGAUUUCCUAACAACAUUUGGGUCUCCUAACCACCUGUCAUAUUGUGGUAUAUCUGUUGGCACAGAUAAGAGUGUGUACAAAGCUCUAUCAGUUUCAAACUGGCCUCUCCUCUUAGCACAAGUGCUGGUAAGAAUGAAGCAAUGAUGGCUCUAUCAGUAUUGAAAUGUUCUUCCUGAAGGUUCAGCAAGAGACAGAGAAUGAAAGUGGAAGCAUUCCACUCAUGUAGAUGGACAUUUCCCGGGAUGGCGUGAUCAUGGAUGAAAGUGUUUAUUUCACAAGUUGUCUGAAAGAUGACACACUGCACGUCAAGACAAUAUAGACCAUGUCACAUAGCAGAAAUUUUUCAACGUCAAUACUUAUGCAUCGAGAGGACAGGAUAUGAAAUGCAAGACAAGAAGAUAUUGCGGAGAGGGAUCCGCCAUAAAGUAUCGCAAUUCCUUUGCCCUUGAAAUGUACACGGUCGAGUAAGCCUGGAACGACAUUUGCCCGGAUGGCGUAAGUACUGGCUACGAUUGCUUAUGUCAAAGCCAGUUUGAAAGAUGAGAAACGGCACGUCGCCUUUUCAGUUGAAGUUAGCUUCUCCGAACAGCACGGUUUUAACUGUUGGCUAUUUUCCAAAUCAAAUGAUGCCCUAUCUUUUGAUCUGUGAAUUAAGCUAGUUUGGGAAAAUUGGGAUGGUUAUAUGCUAGGUUUUGAGACGCUAGACUAUCAGAACAUAUGGCACAUUUUCGUCUUCUCUGAACUUGUGGUGUUAUAUUAUAUAAAACAAAAUAACGCGAAAUGAAUACGUAACACUUUCAAAUCCCAUCAUAAACUUGGUUCAAAUUAGUGAAAUGAGGACUUAUUGUCUUUUUAAGCAUAUAGAUCUAUUCUGCCAAAAAUGAAGAGGCCGGGUUUUGCCUAAAACUGAGUUCCCUUAUUAUUUAUAAAAUAUGAUAUUGCUGGAUAGUAUGAUAUGACACGACUUGUUUUUUCAAACAUGACUCGGAUAAAUGCUUGAAAUAUAGGCACGACACACGGACACAAACAAAUACCGCCAUCAGCUGAAAGUUUUUUUGUUAAAUGAUUUCAGAAUUUCAUCCGGAAUUUCAAAAUAGAUGGGUCUACGUCUUUUAACGAGUUGGGACGUGUUGUUUGAAAACAAAUAACUUGCUCCACCGCAGGCGCGUCAUAACCAACAUUCUUGGAUGAACAUCACCUUGAGAGUAUUUAAUAUUUUUAACGCGUACAAUAAUAUUCAUUUAUCAACGCACAAAGGAAUUUGGUGGGUUGAAAAUCAGAA
This is an RNA transcript of Dendronephthya gigantea, 3121 nucleotides long. It is a transcript of the gene named tRNA:m(4)X modification enzyme TRM13 homolog, with no coding region annotated. The transcript is spliced from 18 exons. The record is from RefSeq and is a predicted model, not a curated record. NCBI's taxonomy places the organism in Eukaryota, Metazoa, Cnidaria, Anthozoa, Malacalcyonacea, Nephtheidae.